RNAcentral lists this long non-coding RNA (260 nucleotides) under Sorghum bicolor (sorghum). RNAcentral's name for it is "long non-coding RNA (SBIC_LNC007638)". The record is from RNAcentral. Lineage: Eukaryota; Viridiplantae; Streptophyta; Magnoliopsida; Poales; Poaceae.
AGCAUAUGUCAUAUUCAUCCAUAAUAAUUUUUUAAAAUAUAUUUCUAGGUCCCUAAACUUUGUGGUAAACUGCAGGAUAUUUUUUUGAUGAUGUGGCGUGUUAGCAUGGCAUAUAUUUUUUUAUUUUACUCCUCAAACAUUUUUUUCUCAUAAAAAACAGAACCUAGCAGCUGAGCACGAAGACAUCGGAGCAGGCUUUCAAGCAGCUGAUUGAGCAGCAUGACGGCAAGGCCGCACACCUACCAUGUUGCACACCGGCC